GACGAACGCUGGCGGCGUGCUUAACACAUGCAAGUCGAACGGAAAGGCCCUGCUUUUGUGGGGUGCUCGAGUGGCGAACGGGUGAGUAACACGUGAGUAACCUGCCCUUGACUUUGGGAUAACUUCAGGAAACUGGGGCUAAUACCGGAUAGGAGCUCCUGCUGCAUGGUGGGGGUUGGAAAGUUUCGGCGGUUGGGGAUGGACUCGCGGCUUAUCAGCUUGUUGGUGGGGUAGUGGCUUACCAAGGCUUUGACGUGUAGCCGGCCUGAGAGGGUGACCGGCCACAUUGGGACUGAGAUACGGCCCAGACUCCUACGGGAGGCAGCAGUGGGGAAUAUUGCACAAUGGGCGGAAGCCUGAUGCAGCAACGCCGCGUGCGGGAUGACGGCCUUCGGGUUGUAAACCGCUUUCGCCUGUGACGAAGCGUGAGUGACGGUAAUGGGUAAAGAAGCACCGGCUAACUACGUG
RNAcentral lists this ribosomal RNA (468 nucleotides) under uncultured bacterium. RNAcentral describes it as "partial 16S ribosomal RNA". It matches the Rfam family "Bacterial small subunit ribosomal RNA", at positions 28 to 507 of the family's 1533-position model. The record is from RNAcentral.